This is a long non-coding RNA of Gavialis gangeticus (Gharial), 255 nucleotides long. RefSeq lists it as uncharacterized. The record is from RefSeq and is a predicted model, not a curated record. The transcript has 3 exons. NCBI's taxonomy places the organism in Eukaryota, Metazoa, Chordata, Crocodylia, Gavialidae.
GGUUAUCAAGGGUAUCCACAGUAUGGAUGGCAGAAUGCACCACCACCUCCUGGACCAGUCUAUGCUGAUGGACCAAAAAACACAGAUGGUGCUACCGUAACAGUUUACCCAGAGGUGAAGAAGUGACUGUAAACACUGUCACAUGCUGAUUUCCCAGAAUAGAUUUGUAUGUUGUAGAAGAGCGAAGAAGGGAUGACACAGGAGAGAGUACCUGUCUGACAGCAUGCUGGACUGCUCUGUGCUGCUGCUGCCUUU